GGGUUCAAGUUCGAAAUAAGCACAAAAAUAUAAUUCCAUAAGCUUUAGUGAAUAAGUAUUCCUUAUGCAUGAGAAUUUGGACUUUUUGAAGCUUCACAUAAAUUCGCGUCACUUGGGAGUCGAACCCGCGCAGAAAUUCAAGACUGACGCGCUACCUCCACUCUAGCACUCAGUCACGGAGACACAAUGCGCAACAGUAAGCAUUGUCUACAUAAGGUCCAAAAGGACGAUCAAAUAACGAACACCCUCUGAUCUGUAUCUCUCAUGGAGAACCCCAAUUUCGUUGUUUGCACAAUGACAAUAAAGUCUGAAAUCUGAAUAUCGUCGGACAAUGCCAAGGGAUCGGUUCUGUCUGAGAAGCCCCUGACUGCAGCCCGCAGACGGAGUCCACAUGGAGGGGGCCGGCACUCCGCCCACAUGGAGGGGGCGGAUACUCAUGCUGCGUUCGAGUAUUCACUGCGAACCGACUCGGAUCUCGGAUCUGACGCCACGCCCGUCCACAUCGAGGGGGCGGCCACUCAGUUCACAUUGAGGACUGGUCAAACAGCAUUUCUGAUCCCGUUUCUGACCUGAAAUUAGCUGAAAUGUACCUGAAAUUACCUGAAAUUAGAGUGUGCCCGCCCGAGCGAGUGAUGCCUAAAACAUGCAAAGACACGUCAGUGUAAUUGUGAAUGGCGAGAGCCCUGAAAUACAGCUGGACAGCAGCGGUCUACAUCACUGCCCCUUCUGCAGAUACAAAGGGUCAAAAUGUGAUAUCGACCAUCACAUUAAAUGCCAUGCCUCGGUUAAAUACAGAGGUCUGCAGAGGAGCUUUCAGGAAGCAGGAAGAGAAGACGGGAGGAAAAAAAGCUACAGGUUAAAGAUCUCUGCACAAAAAGGGCUAGAGUUGCUCCAACAGCAUCCAGCUCUGAAGGAUCAGGUCAUGUAUAGACUGUUAAUCCAGACAAAACUGAAGACCAGGAAUUGGAACCUGGGAACCUGGAAGAUUAUGUUGUCCUGAAGGACACAAUUCAGGCAGCAGCAUGGUGCCAGUUACAGUCCUUCAAGGACAGCGUUUCUCUCCCAGAGGUCAUUGGGAUGGAAGGUUGGGAGCAGAUGGCAGCAUCAACACAGCGCAAAUCCCAUGACGGCGGGGAUGAGGAAGAAACGUGGAAACCAUUCCAAUUCUCAUUCAGAUUACAUACUGACUAUGAACUGUUCUGUGUGGAGAUAAUGGACAGGAAAAACCUGAAGGUGUUUGCCUCUUUUGAGUCAAGAAACCUCUCCCCCUCCCCGUCCCCCCUCCCGUCCCCCCUCCCGUCCCCCUCCCUGUGACGCCUGCGCCACACGACUCCAAUGUAGUCUGAUGAUGCAGCAUAAUGGCGGCGCUUGGUAGCUAUGGCGGCGGUGACGGCGAUGUCGGGCGACAGAGCGUGAAGCAAGAGUGGCGUCCACCUCACUGAGGAAGGCGUCAGUGUGUCCCCCCCCCCCCCCCCCCACCCGUUGAGACUUUGUUUGUUGUACUCUUUAUUGAUUUAUAUUUUAUGUUUAUAGUUUACAAUCUAUUUUUUGUAGUUAUUUUUUAAUUGUUUUGUUGAAUAAAAAGACUGUUGUUAGUGCUCCUGUGAUUGGUGUAACUUAAUGUGCUUCACACAUGUAGCUUUUCAUUAUGUCUAUUGAGGUACAUUUUUUGCCCUUAGAUGUGGUCACUUCGUUAUUCCUCAGAUUACAUCUGUUAAGGUCAUACCUUUGGGUCCCAGUCUUCAAAGUUCCCCAAAUCUUAUUUUGGCUCUUACUGGGCCUGUAACUCUCACAGACAGACGGGUACAGGAGUUCGGACACGUUGCAUUGUUUACAGGCAAGGGUGGAUUACCGCACGGGCACACCGGGC
Molecule: long non-coding RNA, 1870 nt
Filed under: Gadus morhua (Atlantic cod)
Lineage: Eukaryota; Metazoa; Chordata; Actinopteri; Gadiformes; Gadidae
Description: lncRNA (ENSGMOG00000031196.1)
Source: RNAcentral